RNAcentral lists this long non-coding RNA (7520 nucleotides) under Phaseolus vulgaris (common bean). RNAcentral describes it as "long non-coding RNA (PVUL_LNC000530)". The record is from RNAcentral. Lineage: Eukaryota; Viridiplantae; Streptophyta; Magnoliopsida; Fabales; Fabaceae.
CAAAAAUAUCCACCUUGUCUCCUGAUCCUAAAUUUGACACUAUGUCAGGCCAAUCUUCAUCAUUAAAGGAAAUUACCGAGCCAUGGUUGUGUAUUUGGCAUGUGCAAUUCGUGUAAUUAACAAUUAAGACAGUACUAAGUUUAGGUUCAAUAAUUUCCGAGCUUGAUAAAUAAACAACACACAAAGUCAUUCCCUUUACGACACGAUCUUGUGGCACAGUGAAAGAAACAGAAUGUCCAUCACCCUUAUGGGCCAACCAAUAAGGAUCAUUGUCACCUGGGAGAGAAACAUCACAUGACUCACUGCUUGCAAAUUCCUGUAUCAUGUCAUAAACAAGGGCAUGUUUAGUUAAACAAAAAUGUUAUACAUGAUUAAAACAAAUCUGGUUAAUAGUUUUGUUGUGUAUACAUCCCCAGCUUUUCUUUAGUGAUUUAGUGUGUUUUUGUCUCUUAGUUUAUAUUUCUACGUACGAUCAAUGGGAAUCAAGCAAUCAUGAAGCUAGUAAAGCAAGAAAGUGAGAUCUAUUUGGUAGUAUAAGCAUAAUGACUUGUUAGUUGAUUACUAAAACCAGAUAUUUUUAGAUGAAGUCGUGGUGCUAAAAGUUCAGUAUUGUAGUUUCUACAAGAUACUUAAUUAUGAUUAUUUUAAGUUCUCUCAAAUAAUAGCUAAAAUGAUGGUGAAGGUAAUAAACAAAGGGAAAGCAAGGGAAGAACCUUAGGUAUGAUAUCGCUCACAGUAUUGAGGAAUUCUCUGUAUCUUCCAACACCAGUCAGAGCAUACCUUAGGUGAUGCUUUGAAAGCACUGAUUCUCUAACAUUUGCACCAUAUUCGGCCACUAUGGUUUUUACUUGCUCAGAUAGUUGAAACUCGGCAUCGCAUUGCACUGAAACACUUCGAAGAUUUGUGAGGCUGCUAAGCAAUGGUGAUAUUUCAUCCCAAUUAUUAUCUUCCAUAUGCAUAAAGGAAUGAAUAUAAGAUAGGGGAUUCAUUGUUGGCGACAUCCGAGACCGAAUGAUAGAAGGAAAAAGAUUAUGUGAAAAUCCCUCAAAUCCACGUAGGAAUAUAUAUCCAAUACUUUUUGGGCUUACAAUUGUAAAAAGCAAUUGUUUCAUAACUCUAUUUUCAGCAAUUAUAGUUAUCAGGGAUUUCAUUCGCACUAUAUCUUUUUCCAUUAGGUCCAUCUUCGAACAACCAGAUAGAAUCAGAGUUUUUAAGGAUUUCAACUUAUAUAUCUUUCUGGGAAGAUUGCUUAGAUUUGUACAGUCCUGCAAAUUUAGCAGUAAAAGAUUGCAGAGCCAUCCAAUAGAAGGGUGUACUUGUCUCAAUCUUGGACAAUCUUUGAGAAUGAGCUGUUCAAGACUUGGUGUUCGAUAAAAGACAGGGGUUUCUAUUAAAUACUUGGAGUGACUAAGAUCAAGGACUUUUAGCCACGUCAAAACCUUUAAGAACAUAGUUUUUGGUAUAUUAGAGAAGAAAACGACAAAACUAAAUAGUUAUAAGUAGAAACAAAUAAUAAUUUUAAAAGAGAAUGGCACGUGAUAAAAACCUGGGAUCCUUUCCAAACGAAUCGAAGAAGACUGUGUUUUACAUCAAUGACUAUUGCAUCAUGCAUAUAAAAGUCGUGAGCUAGAUAUUCUGAAGAAAACCCUCGCAAACUGAUCCAUCUCAGUUUCUUAAGAAGUCUUGAUGGGUCUCUUGCCUGUGAAUGAUCGCGUCCAAAUAAAUCACUUCCAGUAGGCAAUCUCUGAAUGACUUUUGUGCCAUUAGAUGAAAAGAGCUAAGAAAAAGAAAUAUAUUGCACAUGAGAAAGCAACCACUUUCAAAAGAAGUUUCAAAAGCAUAGAUAAAGGAUGUUCUUACCGUAUUCUCUGACAGUGCAUAUUCUGCAUUAUUAUCAAACCACCACAGUUGACUGUUCUUCCAAGGUUCCUUUGUUGAACUUUGAUGAAUAAUUUCUCUUCCCAUUUCUCGUAACAAUGGAUGCAUUCUUAAUUUGUUAUUCUUAUUAAUUUGUAUGAGACUAUGCUUUAUGAGAACUCUUAUUCCACUAUCAGCGUCUAUUCCACAGCCAUUUAGGAUCUUCGUAACAUAGCUUCUGCUCUUACCAACAAAGGAACAACAUACAUCAAGAAAUAAAUCUUUUUCCAUUUGAUUGCUUAAACCGUCGAAACUUAUUUUCAAUUUCCAUAGAACAUCAAGCUGGGGAAUAUUUUCUAAUAGUAACAAUACUGAAUUCCAUUCUUCUUUGGUCCUUUCAUAUAAAUAACUUCCAAUGACUUCAAGAGCUAGAGGUAAUCCUCCACAAUAAGAAACUACUGUUUUUGCAAGGAAAUGGUAUUCUUGUUUUGGUUUUGCUUCUCGAAAUGCGUGCCAACUAAGAAGCUCAAGGGACUCGUUUGCGUUCAUUAACUUUACCUGAAGAACAGAAUCAGCUUCAUAUAUCCUCACUAGGUUGUCAGGUCUUGUUGUAAUAAUUAUUACACUUCCUCCUCCGAACCAAUGACAGCAUUCCCAUAGUAAUUGUCCAUUAAAACUCAGGCACAUCGUCAAUUACAAUGAGUACCCUUUUCCCAGAAAGUCUUUCCCGAAUCAUACUUCUUCCCAUCUCAAAGCUAUCUGUCUUCACCUUUGUUUUUAGGACAUCUGAAAGGAGUUUUUCUAGUAAACGAAGAUCCCCUCUUAUUCCGCUAAAUUGCCCAAUACCUUCAAUGAAACUUUUCUCUGUGAAUGUACCAUGAAUUUGAUGGUAGAUGGCUUUGGCAAGGGUGGUUUUGCCAGAUCCUCCCUGUCCACAUAUUGCUAUCCUACAAACUUCCGUGGAUUUAUAUUUGAUAGUUCGAAUCAGAUCCUCCACUUGGAAUUGUAAUCCAACUGGAAAUUUAGUAGCAGACAAGACUGGUAAGUGAAGAACAGUCUUAACAAUUUUGUCCACUAGUUCAGCAUCACUCCUUCAAGUUCAAUAGCAAUUAUAGAACAAGUCACGUAUUACCAAAAUUAAAUCACAAACUUAAAAUAUGCGUGAGUGAUUUACCUGUAAUUGCUCUCAUCCCAUCCAAAGAAAUUUGCAGCUUUGGUGAGUGCGUGGCUCCAUCUGGACAUGCCAUGCCUCAGUUGUUGUGGUGAGAAUGUUUGGUGUGCAGUUGCUUUGAAGGCUUUUCCAAAAUCACCCAUCUGAAGACGCACAUCAGAUGGCUGAAUUUCGUAAUAAACGGGCAGAAGAUGUCGACAAUAAGUUUCUUGCCAUCUAAUGAUUUGUUGAAGCUGAUGAAGACACCAAGAAGAUUGAGAAUAGGAUUUGGUGAAAACAACAAUUGCUACACGAGAGAGAUUGAGAAUAGGUUGUUGGAUGUGAAUUGGGUUGUCUGCAUUGGGGUGGUGAAGGAAAGUGGUGAAGCCAACAGCAGAGAGAGCAGAAUCGAGAUGAGAAACAAAUUUCCUUUGGAUGUCUUCUCCAUUAAAGUUUAUGACCACUUCGUACAUCAGUGGGAUUUUGAAUGAUGAAGAGGCCAAUUCCAUGGAAGGUCAACGAUUAGAAGAAAAGAGAACAAAAAUGCAACACAGUCAAGACAAAAAACCAUUCAAAGAAGCCAAAGAUUAAUACAUUUCUUUUUUAUAGUCGUGGAAGCUCAUGAAUUGCAGCACCCAUUUUACUUUAGAAAAAUAAUAUAUUUACAACUUGUUCUAUUAUACAACUUUCAUUUAAAAAAAUAUAUAUAUUUUCAUUAUUUUAUAAAAAACUAAAAUUUUAGACCAAAAAAAAAAGAUUAUAUACUAGAACAGGCUCUCAAUAUAUCAAUAUUAUUUACUUUAGCCAUUUAAGAAGUUAGACCAACACCCACUCUGAACCAAAAAAACGUAUUACACUAUUUUUUUCUAAUUAUAUUCUCUUUUUUUCUAAAUUUACCUAUUAACUUUACUUUUUAUUUUAGAAAGCAUUAUGUUCUCUCUCUUUUACGUUAGGCACGUAUCACUUUAAAUUUUAAAAGAAUAAAAAAUAAUACAUUUUCUUUCCACAUAUAUUUAAAGAGGCCGCUGUAAUAAUGUAAAAAAAUAGAAAGUAUAAAUACAAUUUAGAUAAACGUCACUACAUCUGAAUUUAUUUUUUAAAUAAAUAAAAUAAAAGAAUUGGACGUCAGUUUACUAAAAUUUAUGAAGUUUAUUAUCAAUUACUAAAAAUACAAAUGAGGUGAGUGUAAUUGAUUUUAUUAAGAAGACAAAGUAAAAGUAAUUUUCCCUUUUAUUUGAAUACAAAAUUAUAUGGCAUAUUUUUAUAACAUUAUUUCAAUAUCAUUAUGUUAAAUUAUUAAACACAUUUUUAUUGGAAAUAAGCUGAAAUGGAUGACAAGUUGUUUAGCUAAGUUUACAUUUUUGGUAAAGGAUUGUCGAACUUUAUGGUUGAAAUUGAGUGAUGAUCUCUACAUUCAAAUCCGUAAAUGUAACUUAUAUCAAUAAGUGUCAUUGUUAUCAGAUAUUAGGUGUGGAGUGGUGUCAUUGUUAUCGGAUAUUAGGUGUGGAGUGGUUAUUUUCCAGUACUAGAGAUAUAAUUGGUACUAGUUAAUUCUCACCGUUGUGGGUGGAUAUUAACUGUUAUAUCUUUCCCUAUACUACGUAGUAAAAAAAAAAUCUUCAUUUAUAUUCACUUGGAAUUAUAGUUUGCUGGUCUAGUAUGUCUAAACUAAAAAAAAACAUGAAAAGUUAUCUCAUUUUAACUUUUUUUUCAUCUAGUUUGCUCAUGUUAUUUAGUUAUUGUAGGGAUAUCGAUCGUGUGUGGAAGCGUGAUAAUUUCAACCAAAGAUUAUGAGAAAUUAAAGUAACAAGAAAAAGAGAAUGAUAUCAGAAAUUUUUAGGUGGAAAACCCCUUUAAAUAGAGAUAAAAAAUCAUCGGCGAGAGAGUCAAAACUUCCACUAUAAUGGUAAUAGGAGUACAAUGAAUUCCUCUCAGGCUAAUAGAUAAAUAGCCCCAAAACAAAUCCUCUCUAUAUGGGUUAAACACUUACACCCAAGAGAUGAAAUAGAGAGUAUAGGAACUGUAUGUUGUGUGUUGCUGUAUGUUGUGUGUUACAUUGCUUGAAGGAAGCCACUAUAUAUAGUGGUUCUAGGAGACAACAAUAAUAAAUUCAAUUAAUGGUAAUUAAUCUCCCAUUGAUUGCAAUUGUUUGUGGCAAUUAACCUCCUUUGAUUACAAUUAAUUGUAGUAAGUAACCUCCCAAUUAAUUGUAGUAAGUAACCAAGUAACCUCCCAUUAAUGCCAAGAUAACAAUAAAGGUGAGUCAUAACCCACAAAUCUCCACAAUAAAGAUGAAGCCUUGAUUAAGUAUGGAUAAUACCAGCUAAGUUCAGGCAAUGAUCGAACUUAGCCGAUGGAAGUGGCUUGGUCAACAUGUUUGCAGGAUUUUCGGCCGUAUGAAUUUUUUCAACAAUUAUAUCUCCCGUAUCAAUAAUGUCUUGGAUAAAAUGGUGCUUAAUUUCAAUGUGCUUGGUCCUUGAGUGAUACUUACUGUUCCUGGUCAAGUGGACAACACUCUAACUAUCACAAAAUAUAAUGGCAGAACCUAAGUCCUUCAUAUCAAAUUCACUAUUAAGCUGGGCCUUUAACUUGAUAACUAAAGAUUUAUCUCUUGCGGCAAUCAACAUGUCAUCAACAUAUAACAACAAGUAUAUAAAUGACCCAUCACAUGUCUUUUGAAAAUAGACACAAUUAUCAUAGCUACUUCUAGAGUAGCCAUGUCCAACCAUGAAAGAAUCAAACCUCUUAUACCAUUGUCUUGGUGAUUGCUUCAAGCCGUAGAGAUUUCUUCAAACGACAUACAUGGUCCUCCUUUCCAGGAACAACGAACCCCUCAGGCUGCUGGAUGUAAAUCUCUUCCUCAAGAUUACCAUGAAUUUUAUUUUAUUUUAUUUUUUUUAUCGGCAUUUUUAUUCAAGAUUACCAUGAAUAAAAACAGUUUUCACAUCUAAUUGUUCCAGCUCCAAAUCAUACAAGGCAACUAAAACAAGUAAUAUACGUAUUGAAGUAUGACGAACAACCGGAGAAAAUACUUCAUUAAAGACAAUACCUUUCUCUUGAUCAAAAACCUCUUACAACAAAUCUUGUUUUAUUCCUUGUACUCUCAAAGGGAUCCCUUCUUUUCUCUUGAAGAUCCACUUUCUGUUGGAGGCAGUGAAGCUUACUUGGUGAAGUGAAUUCUGCGUUUUUUCUCAUGGUUUCCUGUUCGUGUUUUUUUUUUUUUACGUUUCUUCUUGUAUAUCUAUUGAGUUUUGGGCCUUUCAGUUCUGUAUCUUGGGCUAAAGCCCAACCUAUUGUAUUGUGUAAUUUAUAUAUAACGUGCACCAUACAAUGUAAUAACACAUAUAGCAGUUUUAUUUUUAAGAAACAAUAUCAUCUUUGAAGGAUUAAGGCACUGCCCUUCAACACAACCACAACAUGGAGGAUUUUAGAAAAUAAAAUUGUUACAAAGGCCAAUUUGAAAAAAGAUGUAGGAUAAUUAUGAUGAGUAAUAUUUUCAGUAUAUGUGGGGAAGAAGAUGAGACAACAUGUAAUAUAUUUUUUAAGUGUAGAGUGGUUUGCCUAGUACGGGGUGGUAUGUUUUAAUACGUGUUGUGAAAUAAAAUGGGCAAUGGUUUAUUGGAUUAUGCAGGAAACAAGAAUUGGCAAUAUUUUAAAAUUAGACAUAAAAAAAUAUAAUCAUUGUAAAUAACGAGAAAUGAAAUCAAACUUUGUUUAAUUUAGUCUUUAAGGGAUGAGGCUACGGUGCUUCUUAUGUUGAAAAAUACGAGAAUUUCUGAAUGCAAUAUUAUAUGCUAAAAAGGCAAAAGAAUGGACAAAAGUAAAAACUACAAAGCAAAUACAAUAAACAGUUCAAGUAAAGCCAAGGAAGCAAGAACUGAGAAACAGGUAAAAUGAGUAUGAAUCUCAUAACUACGAGCUAUACUCAAUGAAAAACAAGGAAAGGAUCAGAAAAGAUAAAUUGCAAUGAAGGACACAAGGAUUAAACAGCAGCUGUCUUUAUAUCAUAAUGCAAUGUCUUAUUUUAAGAGGAUUCCUAUUGAAAUAUUAUAUGCUAAAAGGGAAAAUAAUUGACAAAAGUAAAAUCCAGAAAAAAAAAAAUACAAUAAACAGCUCAAGCAAAGCCAAGGAAGCACCACUGAGGACUGAGAAACAGGGUAAAAUAAACAUGAUUCAAAAAAGAACAUAAAUGACAUACCAGAAAAGUCACAUUACAAUUUUCUUUAUGAAUCUAAUGACGGAAUUUUUCCUUGGCUCACCAUAUAUCAGAUAGACAGCUGUGUUCUUAAUCACCAAAUCGUGACCAAAAUUCACAAAAAUCUCCACCUUGUCACCUGAUCCUAAACUUGACAAUAUGUCAUGCCAAUCUUCAUCAUUAAAGGAAAUUACUGUGCCAUGAUUGUGUAUUUGGCAUGUGCACUUCGUGUAAUUAACAAUUAAGACAGUACUAAGUUCAGGUUCAAUGAUUUCGGAGGUUGAUAAAUAAACAACACACAAAGCCAUUCCCUUCACG